AACGUAGGUACCGAGCGUUAUCCGGAUUUACUGGGCGUAAAGCGCGUUCAGGCGGUUUGGCAAGUCGGGCAUGAAAUCUCUCGGCUCAACCGGGAGAGGUUGUCCGAUACUUCCAGACUUGAGGGCAGUAGAGGGUGGUGGAAUUCCGGGUGUAGUGGUGAAAUGCGUAGAUAUCCGGAGGAACACCAGUGGCGAAAGCGGCCACCUGGACUGCACCUGAUGCUGACACGCGAAAGCUAGGGGAGCGAACGGG
RNAcentral lists this ribosomal RNA (253 nucleotides) under uncultured bacterium. RNAcentral describes it as "partial 16S ribosomal RNA". It matches the Rfam family "Bacterial small subunit ribosomal RNA", at positions 524 to 776 of the family's 1533-position model. The record is from RNAcentral.